AACGAACGCUGGCGGCAGGCCUAACACAUGCAAGUCGAGCGAACCCUUCGGGGUUAGCGGCGGACGGGUUAGUAACGCGUGGGAAUAUACCCUUUGGUACGGAAUAGCCUCGGGAAACUGAGAGUAAUACCGUAUGUGCCCCUCGGGGGAAAGAUUUAUCGCCAAAGGAUUAGCCCGCGUUGGAUUAGAUAGUUGGUGGGGUAAUGGCCUACCAAGUCUACGAUCCAUAGCUGGUUUGAGAGGAUGAUCAGCAACACUGGGACUGAGACACGGCCCAGACUCCUACGGGAGGCAGCAGUGGGGAAUCUUAGACAAUGGGCGCAAGCCUGAUCUAGCCAUGCCGCGUGGACGAUGAAGGCCUUAGGGUUGUAAAGUCCUUUCAGAUGGGAAGAUAAUGACGGUACCAUCAGAAGAAGCCCCGGCUAACUCCGUG
This 433-nucleotide ribosomal RNA is filed under the name uncultured bacterium. RNAcentral's name for it is "bacterial SSU rRNA". It matches the Rfam family "Bacterial small subunit ribosomal RNA", at positions 29 to 507 of the family's 1533-position model. The record is from RNAcentral.